GCCUUCUUGGUGUAGUGGUCAGCACGCUUGGCGCGUAUUCAAGAGAUCCGCGGUUCGAGUCCCAGUGAAGGCU
Molecule: transfer RNA, 73 nt
Filed under: Stegodyphus mimosarum
Lineage: Eukaryota; Metazoa; Arthropoda; Arachnida; Araneae; Eresidae
Rfam family: tRNA
About the family: Transfer RNA (tRNA) molecules are approximately 80 nucleotides in length. Their secondary structure includes four short double-helical elements and three loops (D, anti-codon, and T loops). Further hydrogen bonds mediate the characteristic L-shaped molecular structure. tRNAs have two regions of fundamental functional importance: the anti-codon, which is responsible for specific mRNA codon recognition, and the 3' end, to which the tRNAs corresponding amino acid is attached (by aminoacyl-tRNA synthetases). tRNAs cope with the degeneracy of the genetic code in two manners: having more than one tRNA (with a specific anti-codon) for a particular amino acid; and 'wobble' base-pairing, i.e. permitting non-standard base-pairing at the 3rd anti-codon position.
Source: Rfam by way of RNAcentral